Molecule: ribosomal RNA, 253 nt
Filed under: uncultured bacterium
Lineage: Bacteria
Description: partial 16S ribosomal RNA
Rfam family: Bacterial small subunit ribosomal RNA
Source: RNAcentral
UACGGAGGGUGCGAGCGUUGUUCGGAAUUACUGGGCGUAAAGGGCGCGCAGGCGGCUCCUUAAGUCAGGCGUGAAAGCCCGGGGCUAAACCCCGGAAGGGCGUCUGAAACUAGGGAGCUUGAGUACGGGAGAGGGAAGUGGAAUUCCUGGUGUAGAGGUGAAAUUCGUAGAUAUCAGGAGGAACACCGGUGGCGAAGGCGACUUCCUGGACCGAUACUGACGCUGAGGCGCGAAAGCGUGGGGAGCGAACAGG